UGGAAGUGAUGCAACGUUUCCACCUGACAAUACCCACUGGAGGCGCAAACUGAUUUAAUGAGUCUGAUCC
Pseudophryne corroboree (corroboree frog) is the source of this 70-nucleotide small nucleolar RNA. The record is from RefSeq and is a predicted model, not a curated record. NCBI's taxonomy places the organism in Eukaryota, Metazoa, Chordata, Amphibia, Anura, Myobatrachidae.